UCUCCUGACCUUGUGAUCCGCCCGCCUCAGCCUCCCAAAGUGCUGGAAUUACAGGCAUGAGCCACCACGCCCAGCCGUAUGAUUACCCUUAAGAGUUAACUACCACACUCAAAAGAGGGAGGAGUGGGAAGGAAGAGGCGACGUGAGGGAGCCACUUGGCAGGGGGAGCAGGCGUGCUCUGCAGAACCCCGUGGGCAGCACCAGCGAGUCAGCAAUGGGAAGAAGUGACACGACGGCACAACUCCCAACUCUUUGACCUAUUCAAAGAUGGAACUUCACAGAGAAUCAGCUCUGCUUUGUCCUAGACACAUUUAAAGAGAGCUGAGACGGCCUGUCAGCGCAACUAGGGUUGCCACACACGCCAAGUGGAGGAGAAGAGCCUGCUGUGUGCGCGCACCUGACAGUCACCGGCUUCUCUUUACGUUUCCAAUAGGAAGCGCACACUACGCUGUGGGAACAAAAACACCAGGUGUCUGCUAUGGCCAAGGCAGAUAAGGUCUUUCUCUCCAACAGGAUCCAGAGAUGAGCCACUGGUACUAACACCCAACGGCUGAUGAAGCACGAGUCAAAGAUUAUGACUUGGACUUAGUCACUGGACAUGUGGAUUAUGAGUUGGACACAUACACACAAGUAUCUUGACAUACACAUAUCACAGAGGAACUUCAGAGGAAGGGGCUCCUAAGAAAUGUCUGGCAACUGAGGGAACAGGAAUACGUCUGCUGAGGGACACGUUCUACAAAACAAUGAAGUUUGCUGCAUCAACUGCAUUUUCCUUUCAUGAAAAAUUUCUCUGUACCAUGCAGUGGUGUUUGACAGCAUGUUACCCACAGUAGAAUUACUUUCAAAAUCUGAGUCAAUCUUCUCAAACCCUGCCGCUGCUUUAUCAACUAAGUAUGCACUACUGUAAAUCUUUGAUCACUUCAACAAUGUUCACAGCAUCUUCGCUGGUAGAUUUCCUCUUAAAAAACCACAUUGCUCAUUCACAAGAACCAAUGCCUCAGCAAUUUACGUUUUCUCAUGAGACUGCAGUAAUUCAGUCACAUCCUCAGGCUCCAUGUCUAAUUCUAGUUCACUUGCUAGUUCCACCCCAUCUGCAGUUACUUCCUCUACUGAAGUCUUGGAAUGAACUUCUUCCAAACUCCUGUUCAUGUUGCAUUUUGAC
Molecule: long non-coding RNA, 1162 nt
Filed under: Homo sapiens (human)
Lineage: Eukaryota; Metazoa; Chordata; Mammalia; Primates; Hominidae
Description: HSALNT0393118
Source: RNAcentral